UCCAGACUCCUACGGGAGGCAGCAGUGGGGGAUAUUGCACAAUGGGGGGAACCCUGAUGCAGCGACGCCGCGUGGGUGAAGGAGCGUUUCGGCGCGUAAAGCCCUAUCGGCAGGGAAGAAGGAGGACGGUACCUGACUAAGAAGCCCCGGCUAACUACGUGCCAGCAGCCGCGGUAAUACGUAGGGGGCAAGCGUUAUCCGGAUUUACUGGGUGUAAAGGGGGCGCAGACGGCAGCGCAAGCCAGGAGUGAAAGCCCGGGGCCCAACCCCGGGACUGCUCUUGGAACUGCGCGGCUGGAGUGCAGGAGGGGCAGGCGGAAUUCCUGGUGUAGCGGUGAAAUGCGUAGAUAUCAGGAGGAACACCGGUGGCGAAGGCGGCCUGCUGGACUGCGACUGACGUUGAGGCCCGAAAGCGUGGGGAGCAAACAGGAUUAGGUACCCUAGUAA
Molecule: ribosomal RNA, 447 nt
Filed under: uncultured bacterium
Lineage: Bacteria
Description: partial 16S ribosomal RNA
Rfam family: Bacterial small subunit ribosomal RNA
Source: RNAcentral